AGAUUAAGUUAUUAAGGGCGCACGGUGGAUGCCUUGGCACUAGAAGCCGAUGAAGGACGUUACUAACGACGAUAUGCUUUGGGGAGCUGUAAGUAAGCUUUGAUCCAGAGAUUUCCGAAUGGGGAAACCCAGCAUGAGUUAUGUCAUGUUAUCGAUAUGUGAAUACAUAGCAUAUCAGAAGGCACACCCGGAGAACUGAAACAUCUUAGUACCCGGAGGAAGAGAAAGAAAAUUCGAUUCCCUUAGUAGCGGCGAGCGAAACGGGAAGAGCCCAAACCAACAAGCUUGCUUGUUGGGGUUGUAGGACACUCUAUACGGAGUUACAAAGGACGACAUUAGACGAAUCAUCUGGAAAGAUGAAUCAAAGAAGGUAAUAAUCCUGUAGUCGAAAAUGUUGUCUCUCUUGAGUGGAUCCUGAGUACGACGGAGCACGUGAAAUUCCGUCGGAAUCUGGGAGGACCAUCUCCUAAGGCUAAAUACUCUCUAGUGACCGAUAGUGAACCAGUACCGUGAGGGAAAGGUGAAAAGCACCCCGGAAGGGGAGUGAAAUAGAACCUGAAACCGUGUGCUUACAAGUAGUCAGAGCCCGUUAAUGGGUGAUGGCGUGCCUUUUGUAGAAUGAACCGGCGAGUUACGAUUUGAUGCAAGGUUAAGCAGUAAAUGUGGAGCCGUAGCGAAAGCGAGUCUGAAUAGGGCGUUUAGUAUUUGGUCGUAGACCCGAAACCAGGUGAUCUACCCUUGGUCAGGUUGAAGUUCAGGUAACACUGAAUGGAGGACCGAACCGACUUACGUUGAAAAGUGAGCGGAUGAACUGAGGGUAGCGGAGAAAUUCCAAUCGAACCUGGAGAUAGCUGGUUCUCUCCGAAAUAGCUUUAGGGCUAGCCUCAAGUGAUGAUUAUUGGAGGUAGAGCACUGUUUGGACGAGGGGCCCCUCUCGGGUUACCGAAUUCAGACAAACUCCGAAUGCCAAUUAAUUUAACUUGGGAGUCAGAACAUGGGUGAUAAGGUCCGUGUUCGAAAGGGAAACAGCCCAGACCACCAGCUAAGGUCCCAAAAUAUAUGUUAAGUGGAAAAGGAUGUGGCGUUGCCCAGACAACUAGGAUGUUGGCUUAGAAGCAGCCAUCAUUUAAAGAGUGCGUAAUAGCUCACUAGUCGAGUGACACUGCGCCGAAAAUGUACCGGGGCUAAACAUAUUACCGAAGCUGUGGAUUGUCCUUUGGACAAUGGUAGGAGAGCGUUCUAAGGGCGUUGAAGCAUGAUCGUAAGGACAUGUGGAGCGCUUAGAAGUGAGAAUGCCGGUGUGAGUAGCGAAAGACGGGUGAGAAUCCCGUCCACCGAUUGACUAAGGUUUCCAGAGGAAGGCUCGUCCGCUCUGGGUUAGUCGGGUCCUAAGCUGAGGCCGACAGGCGUAGGCGAUGGAUAACAGGUUGAUAUUCCUGUACCACCUAUAAUCGUUUUAAUCGAUGGGGGGACGCAGUAGGAUAGGCGAAGCGUGCGAUUGGAUUGCACGUCUAAGCAGUAAGGCUGAGUAUUAGGCAAAUCCGGUACUCGUUAAGGCUGAGCUGUGAUGGGGAGAAGACAUUGAGUCUUCGAGUCGUUGAUUUCACACUGCCGAGAAAAGCCUCUAGAUAGAAAAUAGGUGCCCGUACCGCAAACCGACACAGGUAGUCAAGAUGAGAAUUCUAAGGUGAGCGAGCGAACUCUCGUUAAGGAACUCGGCAAAAUGACCCCGUAACUUCGGGAGAAGGGGUGCUCUUUAGGGUUAACGCCCAGAAGAGCCGCAGUGAAUAGGCCCAAGCGACUGUUUAUCAAAAACACAGGUCUCUGCUAAACCGUAAGGUGAUGUAUAGGGGCUGACGCCUGCCCGGUGCUGGAAGGUUAAGAGGAGUGGUUAGCUUCUGCGAAGCUACGAAUCGAAGCCCCAGUAAACGGCGGCCGUAACUAUAACGGUCCUAAGGUAGCGAAAUUCCUUGUCGGGUAAGUUCCGACCCGCACGAAAGGCGUAACGA
RNAcentral lists this ribosomal RNA (2009 nucleotides) under Staphylococcus aureus. RNAcentral's name for it is "partial 23S ribosomal RNA". It matches the Rfam family "Bacterial large subunit ribosomal RNA", at positions 1 to 2007 of the family's 2925-position model. The record is from RNAcentral. Lineage: Bacteria; Bacillati; Bacillota; Bacilli; Caryophanales; Staphylococcaceae.